Molecule: ribosomal RNA, 266 nt
Filed under: uncultured bacterium
Lineage: Bacteria
Description: partial 16S ribosomal RNA
Rfam family: Bacterial small subunit ribosomal RNA
Source: RNAcentral
CCGGCGACCGGCGCACGGGUGAGUAACACGUAUGGAACCUGCCCGCAGCAGGGGGAUAAGCGGAAGAAAUUCCGUCUAAUACCGCGUAACAACGUUGGUAGGCAUCUCCCGAUGUUUAAAGAUUUAUCGGCUGCGGAUGGCCAUGCGGCGCAUUAGCUAGUCGGCGGGGUAACGGCCCACCGAGGCGACGAUGCGUAGGGGUUCUGAGAGGAAGGUCCCCCACACUGGUACUGAGACACGGACCAGACUCCUACGGGAGGCAGCAG